GAAGUUUGUGGACGAUUGCAGUUGUUAUCCUAGUUAAUAUGCACUUGGCAAUGGACAUUAAGCGGUGGUUGCUACUUACUCAUUCUUCAGUUUGGGGAUCAAUAAUCAUUACUUAUGCCUGUGUGGUGGUAUUGGAUUCUAUACCCAUCUUCCCCAAUUACGGGACAAUAUACCAUCUGGCAAAGUCACCUGCAUAUUGGCUCUCCGUCUUGGUUAUAAUAGUCUUAGCAUUACUCCCUCGCUUUAUUUGGAAAGUUAUACAUUAAAAUUUUUGGCCUUCAGAUAUCCAGAUAGCUAGAGAAGCUGAGAUACUGAGAAAAGAACCUAAUUAUUUUGGGUCUAAGCCAGAUCCAGGUUCCAGUUAAUAUGUAUAUACCUUCCUUGCUCUCUGUCUCUGUGGUUGGAGAAAAAUAAUUCUCACCUAUGGGCAUGAGCUUUCUCGAACAGUAACUAGCCAUAUGUUAAACCCCAUGGUCAACCCAUUUUCUCACUUUCAUCAUCAUCAUCUUUCUCUUUAAUUGAAUUCUGCACUUGUGUGUACAUAUCAUGUUAAAUAUGUAAAUGUCUAAUUAGUAUAUCUUGUUAAAAGAAAUAUGUACUUGUGUAUACAUAUAUAUAUAUAUUAGCAUUUGGGCCCAUGCAAUGCGUAGCAAUUCAUUUUGGUCCUCUUUUUUUUUGUUGUAAAAUUCAUAAUAUGAAUUUCUAUUUCUGUUUAAAUAGAGAUAUGGUUGAGGGUAGGCAAUUGAAACUGUCAUGAUUUUUCUUUGAACUUCUGUGGCAACUUGAUAUUUACAUGUUUAUCCCUUUUAUGAUGAAAAGCACAGACAUAUGGCAUGGUUUUUCUGGACAAAGAGGUAGCGUGACGGACCUUAAAAUAUGUGUUCACAUUAUAUUAUAUAAUAAUAUAAAUAGUAUAGAUGUAUGUAUUGUAAGUUCAAGGAAACUUA
Camellia sinensis is the source of this 947-nucleotide non-coding RNA. Lineage: Eukaryota; Viridiplantae; Streptophyta; Magnoliopsida; Ericales; Theaceae. The record is from RefSeq and is a predicted model, not a curated record.